AAGGCGAUACCGAAAAGCCUUAAUAGAGUAGGUU
Molecule: regulatory RNA element, 34 nt
Organism: Algibacter sp.
Lineage: Bacteria; Pseudomonadati; Bacteroidota; Flavobacteriia; Flavobacteriales; Flavobacteriaceae
Rfam family: DUF805b RNA
About the family: Bacteroidetes, Chlorobi (1 example), Proteobacteria. Lineage (Flavobacteria)
Source: Rfam